RNAcentral lists this transfer RNA (74 nucleotides) under Tuber melanosporum (Perigord truffle). Its description in RNAcentral is "tRNA-Val (AAC) (tRNA-Val-AAC-6-1)". The record is from RNAcentral. RNAcentral also lists the same sequence under 1 other name. Lineage: Eukaryota; Fungi; Ascomycota; Pezizomycetes; Pezizales; Tuberaceae.
GGUUUUGUGGUGUAGUUGGUUGUCACACCACUCUAACACACUGGUGGUUCUUAGUUCGAGUCUAGGUGAAAUCU